AGUGAACGCUGGCGGUAGGCCUAACACAUGCAAGUCGAACGGCAGCACAGUAAGAGCUUGCUCUUACGGGUGGCGAGUGGCGGACGGGUGAGGAAUACAUCGGAAUCUACUUUUUCGUGGGGGAUAACGUAGGGAAACUUACGCUAAUACCGCAUACGACCUACGGGUGAAAGCAGGGGAUCUUCGGACCUUGCGCGAUUGAAUGAGCCGAUGUCGGAUUAGCUAGUUGGCGGGGUAAAGGCCCACCAAGGCGCCGAUCCGUAGCUGGUCUGAGAGGAUGAUCAGCCACACUGGAACUGAGACACGGUCCAGACUCCUACGGGAGGCAGCAGUGGGGAAUAUUGGACAAUGGGCGCAAGCCUGAUCCAGCCAUACCGCGUGGGUGAAGAAGGCCUUCGGGUCGUAAAGCCCUUUUGUUGGGAAAGAAAAGCAGCAGGUUAAUACCCCGCUGUGCUGACGGUACCCAAAGAAUAAGCACCGGCUAACUUCGUG
Molecule: ribosomal RNA, 492 nt
Filed under: uncultured bacterium
Lineage: Bacteria
Description: partial 16S ribosomal RNA
Rfam family: Bacterial small subunit ribosomal RNA
Source: RNAcentral